CACGUAGGGCGCAAGCGUUGUCCGGAAUUAUUGGGCGUAAAGAGCUCGUAGGCGGUCUGUUACGUCUGCUGUGAAAACCCGGGGCUUAACCCUGGGCUUGCAGUGGAUACGGGCAGACUAGAGGCAGGUAGGGGAGAAUGGAAUUCCCGGUGUAGCGGUGAAAUGCGCAGAUAUCAGGAGGAACACCGGUGGCGAAGGCGGAUCUCUGGGCCUUACCUGACGCUCAGGCGCGAAAGCUAGGGGAGCGAACUGG
RNAcentral lists this ribosomal RNA (253 nucleotides) under uncultured bacterium. RNAcentral's name for it is "partial 16S ribosomal RNA". It matches the Rfam family "Bacterial small subunit ribosomal RNA", at positions 524 to 776 of the family's 1533-position model. The record is from RNAcentral.